AGGAAUUGGCGGGGGAGCACCGCAACGGGAGGAGCGUGCGGUUUAAUUGGAUUCAACACCGGAAAACUCACCGAGGGCGACUAUCACAUGAAAGCCAGGCUAACGACCUUGCUUGAUUCUUAGAGAGGUGGUGCAUGGCCGUCGUCAGUUCGUACCGUAAGGCGUUCUCUUAAGUGAGAUAACGAACGAGACCCUCAUCUAUAAUUGCUACUUCACCCUCCGGGGUGGAGGCACAUUAUCGAGACCGCUGGCGCUAAGUCAGAGAAAGGAGAGGUCAACGGUAGGUCAGUAUGCCCCGAAUCUCUUGGGCUACACGCGCGCUACAAAGGGCGGGACAAUGGGCUACGACGCCGAAAGGCGAAGUCAAUCUCGAAACCCGUCCGUAGUUCGGAUUGAGGCUUGUAACUCAGCCUCAUGAAGCUGGAUUCCGUAGUAAUCGCGAAUCAAAAACUCGCGGUGAAUAUGCCCCUGCUCCUUGCACACACCGC
RNAcentral lists this ribosomal RNA (488 nucleotides) under uncultured archaeon. Its description in RNAcentral is "bacterial SSU rRNA". It matches the Rfam family "Archaeal small subunit ribosomal RNA", at positions 860 to 1349 of the family's 1478-position model. The record is from RNAcentral.